RNAcentral lists this ribosomal RNA (641 nucleotides) under Terrabacter sp. I15A-00865. Its description in RNAcentral is "bacterial SSU rRNA". It matches the Rfam family "Bacterial small subunit ribosomal RNA", at positions 92 to 747 of the family's 1533-position model. The record is from RNAcentral. Lineage: Bacteria; Bacillati; Actinomycetota; Actinomycetes; Micrococcales; Intrasporangiaceae.
UCAGUGGCGAACGGGUGAGUAACACGUGAGUAACCUGCCCCUGACUCUGGGAUAACCCCGGGAAACCGGAGCUAAUACCGGAUAUGACACGCCCUCGCAUGGGGAGCGUGUGGAAAGUUUUUCGGUCUGGGAUGGACUCGCGGCCUAUCAGCUUGUUGGUGAGGUAAUGGCUCACCAAGGCGACGACGGGUAGCCGGCCUGAGAGGGCGACCGGCCACACUGGGACUGAGACACGGCCCAGACUCCUACGGGAGGCAGCAGUGGGGAAUAUUGCACAAUGGGCGAAAGCCUGAUGCAGCGACGCCGCGUGAGGGAUGACGGCCUUCGGGUUGUAAACCUCUUUCAGCAGGGAAGAAGCGCAAGUGACGGUACCUGCAGAAGAAGCACCGGCUAACUACGUGCCAGCAGCCGCGGUAAUACGUAGGGUGCGAGCGUUGUCCGGAAUUAUUGGGCGUAAAGAGCUUGUAGGUGGUUUGUCGCGUCUGCUGUGAAAAUCCGAGGCUCAACCUCGGACUUGCAGUGGGUACGGGCAGACUAGAGUGUGGUAGGGGAGACUGGAAUUCCUGGUGUAGCGGUGGAAUGCGCAGAUAUCAGGAGGAACACCGAUGGCGAAGGCAGGUCUCUGGGCCAUUACUGACACU